AUGUUUUCAAGAAUCUAUCUCACUGCAUUUUCAAGUCUUUGGUUCGAUCUUGACACAUUUUUUUAAUUUUUUUUUUGAAUACCAGGAGGUUCUGGGCCGAAACCCGUAAUCCCCCAGACCCGAAACCACAGCAUGUAAUAUUAGUUUCGUCCUAAUCGUCACUCGAACCGGCGACCUCUAAGUUUCGCCUAGGGUCUUUACCCAUUGAGCUAACGACACUUGGUCUUGACACAUUACUUACCCGCUUCCGUCUUUAUCAAAGUAUUGGAA
Molecule: small RNA, 270 nt
Filed under: Arabidopsis thaliana (thale cress)
Lineage: Eukaryota; Viridiplantae; Streptophyta; Magnoliopsida; Brassicales; Brassicaceae
Description: ATSL195520
Source: RNAcentral